RNAcentral lists this unclassified non-coding RNA (391 nucleotides) under soil metagenome. RNAcentral's name for it is "partial contains 5.8S ribosomal RNA, internal transcribed spacer 2, and large subunit ribosomal RNA". The stretch from base 1 to 122 matches the Rfam family "5.8S ribosomal RNA", at positions 35 to 154 of the family's 154-position model. The record is from RNAcentral.
GAUGAAGAACGUAGCGAAAUGCGAUACUUGGUGUGAAUUGCAGAAUCCCGUGAACCAUCGAGUCUUUGAACGCAAGUUGCGCCCGAAGCCAUUAGGCCGAGGGCACGCCUGCCUGGGCGUCACACGUCGUUGCCCCCCCAUCUACUCCUUCGGGAUUGCGGGGGGCGGAUGAUGGCCUCCCGUGCGCCUCGUCGCGCGGUUGGCAUAAAUGCCAAGUCCUCGGCGACGCACGCCACGACAAUCGGUGGUUGCGAAACCUCGGUUGCCCGUCGUGUGCGGUCGUCGCGCAUCGAGGGCUCGAAAAAAUUGCCGGGCUCCGGCUCGGCUUUCAACGCGACCCCAGGUCAGGCGGAGUUACCCGCUGAAUUUAAGCAUAUCAAUAAGCGGAGGA